This 505-nucleotide ribosomal RNA is filed under the name Alternaria alternata. RNAcentral describes it as "eukaryotic LSU rRNA". The stretch from base 143 to 296 matches the Rfam family "5.8S ribosomal RNA". Lineage: Eukaryota; Fungi; Ascomycota; Dothideomycetes; Pleosporales; Pleosporaceae. RNAcentral also lists the same sequence under 2 other names. The record is from RNAcentral.
ACCUCUCGGGGUUACAGCCUUGCUGAAUUAUUCACCCUUGUCUUUUGCGUACUUCUUGUUUCCUUGGUGGGUUCGCCCACCACUAGGACAAACAUAAACCUUUUGUAAUUGCAAUCAGCGUCAGUAACAAAUUAAUAAUUACAACUUUCAACAACGGAUCUCUUGGUUCUGGCAUCGAUGAAGAACGCAGCGAAAUGCGAUAAGUAGUGUGAAUUGCAGAAUUCAGUGAAUCAUCGAAUCUUUGAACGCACAUUGCGCCCUUUGGUAUUCCAAAGGGCAUGCCUGUUCGAGCGUCAUUUGUACCCUCAAGCUUUGCUUGGUGUUGGGCGUCUUGUCUCUAGCUUUGCUGGAGACUCGCCUUAAAGUAAUUGGCAGCCGGCCUACUGGUUUCGGAGCGCAGCACAAGUCGCACUCUCUAUCAGCAAAGGUCUAGCAUCCAUUAAGCCUUUUUUUCAACUUUUGACCUCGGAUCAGGUAGGGAUACCCGCUGAACUUAAGCAUAUCA